UACGUAGGGUGCAAGCGUUUGUCCGGAAUUAUUGGGCGUAAAGAGCUCGUAGGCGGUUUGUCGCGUCGACUGUGAAAUCCCGCGGCUCAACUGCGGGUCUGCAGUCGAUACGGGCAGGCUAGAGUUCGGUAGGGGAGACUGGAAUUCCUGGUGUAGCGGUGAAAUGCGCAGAUAUCAGGAGGAACACCGAUGGCGAAGGCAGGUCUCUGGGCCGAUACUGACGCUGAGGAGCGAAAGCGUGGGGAGCGAACAGG
This 254-nucleotide ribosomal RNA is filed under the name uncultured bacterium. Its description in RNAcentral is "partial 16S ribosomal RNA". It matches the Rfam family "Bacterial small subunit ribosomal RNA", at positions 524 to 776 of the family's 1533-position model. The record is from RNAcentral.